Molecule: long non-coding RNA, 1500 nt
Organism: Papaver somniferum (opium poppy)
Lineage: Eukaryota; Viridiplantae; Streptophyta; Magnoliopsida; Ranunculales; Papaveraceae
Exons: 6
Source: RefSeq, a predicted model, not a curated record
UUUGUUGCUUCCGCCGCAACCACAAAAUAGUUUCUUCAAGAAUUAGUUUAUGGAUGGAUGAAGAGGAAGAUCAAACCCGAAUCCAAUCUGGUUUUGUUGAUUGAAUCAUGAAAGCAUAAUGAUAUCUCCUCUCAAAUCUAAAGCUUUCAGAAACGACAUCGCCUCCAAUUUGUGUUAUGAUUCUGUGUUCCCCAUACAUAUAGUUCCUGGGAGAAGAUGAAGGAAUUCGUUGUGCCUUUUCCAAUUCCUGGUUUCGUCCAUGGUCGAGGAGACCAAUUGAAGUGAACAGUUGAAUUCUGGAUAAGCGGCUGAUUGGAUUGAUGGUCCUGUAGGAAAAGAUGGAAAAAUACAUUUUAGGAGAGAUCUAAUCCACCUGACAGAAGAAGGCUGCUAGAAAGAGCAUAUUUGAUGCAGAAGUCAAAAACUGAUGCAGAUCUAAUCCUCUUUGGACUUUGAGAACUUAUAGAUGAAGUCUUUGUUUCUAUCAAAAACUGAACUGGUUUGUUGGGUAAUUCCACGUUGACGAGACUGAGCUGCAAAAACAAACCUGACUAAUUACCAAUGUGAUCAUCUUUCUAUACUUUUCCUCUCCACUCUGGAGAUCACCACUAAUUUUUAUUGUCAUAAUGACUUGUCCUCUCAAGGGUAGUGUUUUUUAUUUGGUCCUUGUCCAAUGAAUCUGAAGCCUCCCCAGAUCUGCUGUCUUCCUGGUAAAGAUCUUAAGCACCAAACUUGAAAUUGCUGGGAUCUUCUAUGGAUCGAUGGAUGAUUACUGGCCUGUGUAAAAAAUUCGACAUCUCCGGCUCAAAAAGAGGUAAUCGGGUCCACUAAGAUGACGAGGAGAGUAAACUUUAACAGAAAAGGUGCUGGCUGCAGCGUCAUUCAAUGGAUUGAUUGUCAUAUUGAUUUCUCCUCUCAAAAAUAACAAUGGGAUCAUCAUGGUGGAUACUGAUUGCCUAAUUAUUACAACUUCUGCUCAGUGUGCGACUGUGGCCAAACACCAGACAGUUAGUUAAAGGCAAGGAUAGUUGGCAUGCCAGGAGCUUGCAUAUGCAUGUGGUUUCAUUCCCGAUGAUAGUUAAGAACUCUAGACGGAAGGACAAGGGAGCUGGCAUGCAGUUGCAGGGAAACAAAUUGUUUACUAGCCUACUAGGGGUGUUAUAUAUGAGUGCAAUCUUGAACACUGUUUCAGUGGCAGUUGUGGCAUAUCUGGCUCGACUGGAAACAAGUAUCUUUCUAGGAAAAGAAGCAUAUUUUGUUUCAACUAAGCUCUAACAUGAAAUCUUCUUUCCUAGCUUCAAGUUCGUCAAGGAAUUUUUGGUAACUUUAGGACAUUGGAAAUGUGCAUACCCUUAAGUUGACUCUUCAUUCUUGUUUUGUUCUACUCAAAUGUGUAGUAAUUUGUAGACUGCAUUCAGCUCAAUAAUCUUCUGUAGUUGGUGGUUGUUCAUGCCACUUAUCCAUGUGAUAGUUGAUUCGUUAUUUUUUGGUUUGGUUUGA